Sphaeramia orbicularis (orbiculate cardinalfish) is the source of this 641-nucleotide long non-coding RNA. RefSeq lists it as uncharacterized. The transcript is spliced from 2 exons. The record is from RefSeq and is a predicted model, not a curated record. Lineage: Eukaryota; Metazoa; Chordata; Actinopteri; Kurtiformes; Apogonidae.
AUUGUGCUGCUAAUUCUAAAUGGAACAUGCCCUCUGAUGGUGUCCUGGCUCUGUGGCCUUGUGCUUCCCUUUGUUUUUCAGGAGAAGACCAGUGCUCUGUCUCUCAGUAACGUGGCUGGAGUCUUCUACAUCCUGGUUGGAGGUCUGGGUCUGGCCAUGAUGGUAGCGCUGGUGGAGUUCUGCUACAAAAGUCGUGCAGAGGCAAAAAAAUGAAGAUGAAGUUCACAGAUGCCAUGCGCUCCAAAGCCCGUCUGUCCAUCACAGGAUCGACCAGUGAGAACGGCCGCGUCCCCGUGGCGUACCUCCGCCCAGGAUUACCCAUGAGCCUCAGCAUGACGGACCUGUCCUGACCACACUCCAGCCAGUGCCUUACAGCCAACUGACCACACCCCCUGUCCCCUCCCAUAACCAAUGGAAAUGCUCGCUCCCUUUGUCACAGACCGACACCGCCCCCUCUGGGUGACCCCCGCCCCCUGUUCUACGUCCAGUCGUCUGUUGGAGGUCUGCGGAGCCGCUGGUCUGGACAGACUGGACAGACGUGGCCCCCCCCACUUGGCUGUCAGGCUUCAAUCAGACCAGUCCAUGAAGGAUGGAAGCUGUCGACCAACCCCCAGACUCAGACUGGUCCACCACACAUCCAU